GCUACAUUGUGCAGUUUCAUCGAGUCAUUCCCGACCAAGGAGGAGAGUUCGCAUCAUUUUUCUUUUUUUUUUUUUUGGUAUAUAGAACGGUACUGAUCUGUCGGCUACAUUGUGCAGUUUCAUCGAGUCAUUCCCGACCAAGGAGGAGAGUUCGCAUCAUUUUUCUUUUUUUUUUUUUUGGUAUAUAGAACGGUACUGAUCUGUCGGCUACAUUGUGCAGUUUCAUCAAUACAUUUCUCGGCCAAGGAGAGAGAUGGUGAGAGGAGGAGAGAGAGAGAGAGAGAGAGAAAGAGACUGGCAGGAUUGGCAGGAUUGGAUAAAAAAAAAAAAAAAAUCCCAUAAUUGGCAGGAUGGGCUGAGGCUUUUGGCGUCCUCCUGGUCGAGCAAUGGGUAAGUCUUAUCUAUUCACCUCUCGAGGCACAAUAUCUUGGGUUUCAUAAAUAAAGUUAGAAAUAUUUACAAUUUGAUAGCUACGAGAGUGAUAACUAAUAGUCAAUUAGUCAAUUGAUCCUAGUUCAACGGGUUAGUUUUAUAUCUUUCAAACAAUAAUAUAUUUUAUUUUAAGGUUCGGGAUUUAUUAUUAUUACUUUUUUUUUUACAAAAAUUUAAAAAAAGAGGGACAGUUUAAAUGAGAGUCACAUGGCUUCCACAAUGACCCAUUGCCCUUUGUCUUUAGGUUAAAGAAAGAGAAUGGGCACAGCCAAUCAGCGGCCCCUUAAUUUGCUGGAAAUGACCCUAUUAUUUUAGGGCAUUUGGACCUACCAUUUUUGGGAUAUUUAGUUAUUUACAUAUUAAUUCACCAACUCACAAUUUAUCUCUUUUCAUUAUUUACCUCUUUGGCCGACACAAAAUAACAAAAUUCAUAUCUUUUUUAGUUUCAAAAUAAAUAAAUAAAUUUUGUUUUAUUUCUCUAAUGUGUUUAUAAGCUUGAAGAUUAAGCAUACCGUUUAAUUCCAAACCAGCAAUCAUGUCCUGUAAAUUCUUAGCCUUAUUUGAUUUUUUUUAAU
Cucurbita moschata (crookneck pumpkin) is the source of this 1007-nucleotide long non-coding RNA. RefSeq lists it as uncharacterized. NCBI's taxonomy places the organism in Eukaryota, Viridiplantae, Streptophyta, Magnoliopsida, Cucurbitales, Cucurbitaceae. The record is from RefSeq and is a predicted model, not a curated record. The transcript is spliced from 3 exons.